GGCGGGCUAGCCUCUGUAACUCCGUUCAAAACGAGCUCUGCACUCUCUCUCUCUCUCUCUCUCUCUCUACUGUGGAGGUCGUGAGUAGGAAGAUGCAGAGCGGGGUGGAAGAUCCAGUGCGGGCGAAAAUGGCGGAGCUCCGGUUGGUCUGUGACAGGGAGAUUCCGAUACGGCACAGCCGCAUGGAUGCCGCCUUCAGCGCCGUCGUGGCGUCGCUUGAAUCAGCCAAGGCCCGGUCUCAAGAAACCGUUCAGAAUCAAGCAAAACUGGGAAAGCUAAAAGCUGAGCUGAGAGAGGCGGAGGAUGAUUUGGUGAAAGCCCUGGCAGCAAAGACUCGUAAAGAAGCAAGGCGGAUGGCCACAAUGGACAACAUAUCUUCUACAAGAGCUAAAAUAGAAGAGCUCAAACAAAUCAUUGAAGAUCAAAAGGCUAGAAGGAAUGAGUAUGCAGAGAUAAUAGCUCAACAAUCUGAAGCUCUGUCAACAUAUGAAGAAAAUUACAAGAAUAAUGAAGACACAGGAGUAGACGAGGCUGUUUCAUGGUACAAUAGGGCCCUUGGCUUCCGAGUAGAAUGCGGACAUGGAGUGAAAUUCAUAUUCACUAACAUCAAUUUGAAGAAUCCAAAGGAGGAGUAUUCCUUUUGCAUUCGACAUGAGAAUGAUUUAUACACUAUGCUCGAAUGUGACCCACACUUAAAUGACACCAAAGAUCUGAUCAAUGAGUUGAACAGAAGCAAUGGUCUAUUCAAAUUUGUCAGAUCUAUGAGAGAAAAGUUUCAAGUAGCUGCAGCACACGGAAUUUUGACUCAAGUUACUUCUUGUGAUCAAGACUCUUCAACAGUCUCUCUAUCUGCUCCGGUUUGUUCAGUUUCAACUGACAGUAGAAGUGAAUCUCCGUCAAAGCAAAAUAAACUUCAACCUGAAGAAGCCAACAGACAUCACAAGAAGGCUAACCAUGUCAGAGGAGUGAAGUUUUCUGGAAGAAGAGAUUUCUAGGAGGUGAACUAAUGCAAUUCCCUUCCCAAAGCACAGCCUUCUGUUUUCAACUCUUUUGGCCACGAGAGAAAAACGGGAAUUCCUUUUAAUCUUUCCAACAAUUAGAAUAGUUGUAAAGAAAAAGAAAGAAACUUUAAAGGUUGAAGUCAUCUAGUAAUGAGUGUUGAUGGGCUAGCCACCAUGUCUUGAGGUCAUGUUUAGCAUGCGUCAUCUACCAUUAUGGCAACUGUCUUCAAUCACUCAUGAUGCAAUGUACUAGUGUGAUGGAUGGUUACCCCGUUUGUCAUGUGUCAUAAUUGGCCGUUGCUAGCUUAGUCACAUGCAUCAUUGCUUUUACUCAUAUGGUUGAUGAAGUUUGAAUAACUAUCUGGAUAGUUAUGUCACUUCCGUGAAUACCCAUAAAUGAUUAGUUACUUGCACCCUAAGAGGUUUAUUCAUGAAGGAUUUCACCUUAUAAAUCAUCAAGCUUAUAUGGAUUUGUUUGUCGUGUUAUUUUAGUGACAUGAGAGUUCUUUGUUUUAGUCAUGGUAAUCGUUUGCUUUGUCUAAGAACUGGACCUCAGGAAGUAAUGUGAAAGAUUUAUUUAAUAUUCAUUAUCGCUUUAUCUACCUUGUAGGAUAAGGUGAUAGCACUCAACUCAAGUAGGCAAUGCCCUAUUAGAUAGGUAGGGAUAAUAAGCAUUCUAUCACAACACCCUACAACCUAGAUAAGGUGAUAAUAUUUAUUAGAUAAAUCUUUUAUAAUACUACUUGAUGUUCAGUUCUUGUGCUAAGAAAGGGAUAUCUGAUGUUUAAAAAAAUUAUCGACUAAUAAAGAAUUGCCACUUAACUAAAUAGCAUGUCGAACAAAUUUAUGUAACCUUGAUGGUUUACAAGGCGAAAUCUUUUGUGAAUAAACCUCUUAGGUGCACACCAUGUAACUACUCAUUUACGGGCAUUCAUGAAAUGAACAUAACUCUCCAAAUAGUUAUUUAGACUUCAAUU
Molecule: RNA transcript, 1978 nt
Organism: Diospyros lotus (date-plum)
Lineage: Eukaryota; Viridiplantae; Streptophyta; Magnoliopsida; Ericales; Ebenaceae
Gene name: kinetochore protein SPC25 homolog
Exons: 9
Source: RefSeq, a predicted model, not a curated record